This 490-nucleotide ribosomal RNA is filed under the name uncultured Comamonadaceae bacterium. RNAcentral describes it as "bacterial SSU rRNA". It matches the Rfam family "Bacterial small subunit ribosomal RNA", at positions 8 to 495 of the family's 1533-position model. Lineage: Bacteria; Pseudomonadati; Pseudomonadota; Betaproteobacteria; Burkholderiales; Comamonadaceae. The record is from RNAcentral.
AGAGUUUGAUCCUGGCUCAGAUUGAACGCUGGCGGAAUGCUUUACACAUGCAAGUCGAACGGCAGCACGGGGGCAACCCUGGUGGCGAGUGGCGAACGGGUGAGUAAUACAUCGGAACGUGCCCAGUCGUGGGGGAUAACGUAGCGAAAGCUACGCUAAUACCGCAUACGAACUCUGGUUGAAAGCGGGGGAUCGCAAGACCUCGCGCGAUUGGAGCGGCCGAUGGCAGAUUAGGUAGUUGGUGGGGUAAAGGCUCACCAAGCCCACGAUCUGUAGCUGGUCUGAGAGGACGACCAGCCACACUGGGACUGAGACACGGCCCAGACUCCUACGGGAGGCAGCAGUGGGGAAUUUUGGACAAUGGGCGCAAGCCUGAUCCAGCCAUUCCGCGUGCAGGAUGAAGGCCCUCGGGUUGUAAACUGCUUUUGUACGGAACGAAAAGGCCUGGGUUAAUACCUCGGGCUCAUGACGGUACCGCCAGAAAACCCCG